RNAcentral lists this long non-coding RNA (4657 nucleotides) under Panax ginseng (ginseng). Its description in RNAcentral is "long non-coding RNA (PGIN_LNC007916)". The record is from RNAcentral. Lineage: Eukaryota; Viridiplantae; Streptophyta; Magnoliopsida; Apiales; Araliaceae.
UUUGUUCCUUAUAUUAACACUUUGUUCCUUAUCAUAUCCAUACUUCUCAACAUAUUACUAAUUUAAACAUGUCUUAGAUUAUAUAUUAAUCUUAGCUUAAAUUCCAGGUUUUAUAGACCAUUACAUAUUAUAAUACCACAUAAUAAUACAAGACAAUAAUAAUAAGGUAAUUAUUACAAUAACUCAUUAAGUUCAUAUAAGCACAUGCACUUAAUAAUAACUUAUUCUGCAAAUUUGCCUUUCUCCCUUAUCUUUCCCUGAGGUACCAGCGUUCUUGGUUUUAACUGAAAAUAUUAUAUUCAACGCAAGGGUGAACAAAAGUUUGCUCAGUAAGGAAAUAAGCAGUUGAAUAUAAUGGAAUAAGAAUAUUUACAACAAGAAAAAUAAAAUCAAGAGAUACUGAGCAAAACAGUUCUUUAUGAGCUUUGAGUUUAAAGAAUCAAACUUUAGCAUGCUGUAAGGUCAAAUGACCGGUGAACUGUUUACUAAAACUACAAUCCAUGGAUACAAACAGUUAUUAAAAUUGAACUAUAUCCUAGACUUGUACUUUAGGGGAUCAUCUCAAGUACCCUAUAUUGUGCACAACAUAACACUCAAAUGACACAUUACAUGUCCUUCAGAAUCAUGUCCAGUAUCAUAUGCCCCUAUAAAAGGGUUGUUCGUUCACAUUAUUAUAUAAGCGUGUGCCAAAACAAAAUGGUUUUGAGAACAUUAAAUGAGAUUUUCAUGAAUGAAUAAUAUCAGUAUAUCUCAACAGUUGUCUAGCCGAAAUAAUGGCAUUGACAUACUUUCAAUAUCAUAAGAAUAACUGAAUUUGAAGUAUUGCAGUUCAAUAAUUUCAAUAACUUGAAAAGAUAAGCUUUCGAGUUAAGUACUUGCAAUAUAAGCUUAAUUGAGUAAGGAAGGUUGAUGUACUAGUCUCUCGCGUCGAUUAAACUUUUUAAGAAAGUGCUUUGCCACUGAGUAACUUACAUAUAUCUAGUAUUGAAUUACUUAGUUAUCUUUUAGCACAAAGUUUAUAUUAGCUCAACUAUGGCUAUUAAAGUUAUAUUCAAUAAUUAUCAGAUAAGCUACUUACUAACAUUAACAGUUCUAUAGAUAGCUAUUAUUCUAAAGUUAAGCACACAUAGGCACUUAGCUUGCCACAACACAUUUUCACAUCUUAGGAUACAUAUAGUACUUUUACUUAAUUAGUUCACAUAGACAUAUAACACAUAUAACUUUCAUACAUCCAAAACAUACAAGUUUCAGUCUCAACAUAUCAUGAUAUAGAUCUUAGAUCAUAAAAAAUCUUUAUUAUCUCAUUUAGUCAUGAUAAGACAUUUACGAGCUUUAAAUUUUACUUUUGCAACAUAACUCAAAAACACAAAAAUAUGAUUUUUGAGGUACGUUUGGAGAUUUUUAGUAGUUUCUAUAGUAACAUUUUGAAUCUCCUAAUUGUGCCAUCUCAUAGACCUCAUAAACAAAGUAUGUUAUUCUUGGUUUAGGUCUUUAAAACUAUUAAGCUUAAGCAAUCAAAAACAGGCCCCAAAUGGGCUGUUUUACACCUUUUCUUAGCAAAAUCUGUAGUUUUUAUGAUUUUCAAGGCUACUUUGAUGAUUUUAUAAAUUUUUGUAUUAUGCUUUUAGACAUGAACUCUGGGCAUACUUCUAGACUGUAUACCAAGGUAUUUUUGUAUUGGUUUGGUUUCUCAAGUAAGCCUUUUAUGCUUCUUGAAACUGAUGCUCAAACUAGGUUGUUUAUCACAGUUUUAGCUUUUACCAACUUUGGUGAAUUCUUUCCAUUUUCAUUUCUGGCCUCUUGUGUUCAAUCCAACACUUGAAUUAUUACUAGUUAAGACUAGUUUUAGCAUUUUUCUUGACUUUGCUAAGCAUAAAUUUGGUUUUGACCCUCUAAACCUAGUUUUUUCAAGCUUUUACUUACUAAUUUCUCAAGUUCUUUUAUACCUUAGCAUUCCAACACUUGGAAUAUCCUAACAUACAUCUAAAUCACUUGUCUAAGGUGUUAAAACUGAUUUUUAAGUAAAAUAGCAAAAUCUCAAUUUUACACUAGAAAAAAAUCUGCAGAAUCUGCAGUUUUGUUGAAUUUAUAGGCUAGUUUGGUGAUUUGUUUGAAUUUAUGGGUUAAGUUAUUGGUUCAACCAUUUGGUCUUGCUUCUGGACCAUACAUCAAGUUUAUUUUUCUUAUUCAUGUCAAUUAGGCUUCCCAAAACAGGGCUCCAAUUGGGCAAUUUUCUCACUUUCAUACAAAAACUAUUUUUGAACUUUUUCCAAAAUUUUCCACUUUUGGCCACUAGGAUAGUUUAGGCAUGUGUAUUUAAGUUACUUAAGGCUAAUUUCAUCAUCAUCAUGCUUUAUUUAAUCACUUAGCCAAGUUUGACUUAUCAAAGCUCACUUUAGGCUUGAAAAUAGAUCCUAACUUGGUUUUCUUGCUAGUUUUGGUCUUGGCAAUGAUUGGAAACCAUUAUGAGCAUGCAUUAGCAUCUUUAUAUGAGUUUAUUACAGGCUUAUAUGUCAGGUGUUGAGGAUCACCCAAAACAACCCUCUUUUGGCUUAAAAUUGUGACUUUUAACAAGUCUAAGGCUAAAAAAAGUUUAGACUUGGCUUCUUUGGCUUAUGUAGCCCACUUAUACUAUAUUAUAACUAUUGAAACUUUCCUAUAUGACCCAGGUACGGUGGUGUUGAGGAUCACCCAAAACAACCCUCUUUUGGCUUAAAAUUGUGAUUUUGAACAAGUCUAAGCCUCAAAACAGUUUAGACUUGGCUUCUUUGUCUUAUGUAGCCCACUUAUACUAUAUUAUAACUAUUGAAACUUUCCUAUAUGACCCAGGUACGGUGGUGUUUAAUUUUGGUGUUUAUUGCUAUCAUAAAGCUUACUUUUAUGGUUUUAGACAUGAAAAUUGAGUAACAUUCACUAUGAACCUCAACUAAGUUAAGGAGAAACUUUUAAAUCAUAUUUAUGGACAUUGUAGGUAAAUCAUACUAUCUAAUAACCUCAGUAGCUAAAAUUGGCCAUAGGAGUUCCUAUUUUUAGGAUUUUAAGCACUGUUUUGGCAUUUAUUCACAAGUAGUCCCAACCUAGGACUCAAGGGACCUUUAAGCCCUCAAACAAACUUUAAAUCAUCAUUAAAACUUAAUACCAUAUACAUUAGCAUGCUUGUAAAAGUUAGUUCAGUUUCUAAUAAUAAAACAGUCCUUACUAGGUUUUAUAAACAUGAAUUAGUUAUACUCUACCAUAACAGUCCCAAGUAUUCAAAAGCUCAAGUUGUAUGGAUUUUUACUUCAUACACAUGCUAUAUAAUCAAUACACAUGGCUUAAAAAUUAGCAGAUUAAAGACUUUAUUCAUUUGAUCAAAAUAGCCUCCUCUUAACUUUAAGUUUUAACACAUGAACUAGUAAUACCACAAAAAUCAAGCUAAUACUAUUAUGGACUGAUUUGCACAACAUCUCUCAUAAAUUACUAGGACUGCUCCAAUAGUCAAUUCUCUUAGUUUAUUAGCAAGUCAUUUAGUUGGUUAAUGGCAUAUCAUGGCAGUUAAAAUAGUGGCAGAGUUUGACAUGUGCAAAACAGGUCCAAACUUUGCUUAUUUUGGUUUCAAGCUUCCUAAAAAUUUCGAUUAGUUUUUAUUAUUAUUUUCAUCCAUGGUUUGGUUCAUUAGAAACCUUGAUUUAACAUGUAAAUCACAUUAAGGUCAAGGGAAAUCAAUCCUUAACUAGCUUGUUAACACAGUUACUUUUAAUUAGUUUAACUCAUAUAUGAAACUAUCAUAGUAUGCAAGUUACACUCAACCUGCCUUAUUAUAUAUACUAUAUAAGCUUACAUGUCUUUGCUUGAUUAUUAGCAUGAUAAUAAGGCCUUUGUUCUUGCAUGCACAGUUGAUACUUAGUUACCCCAAAUCAGUCCUGACUUUAGCAUUUAAUCGAACAAUUGGUGGGAAAUCUUUAUACUUACAUAUAGUAAAUACAUUUUUAGCCUUCUUGUUCUAGCCUUAUGGCAUUAAAACAACAACAAGAACAACACACCAACAUAGCAGUUCCAACAUCAAUGACAACACAACAUAGCAGUCCACCUAGCAGUGUCAAUCCGGCCUAUAGCAGUCAACCAAUUCAUCUGGCCACUAACAGUUGGCUUACUAAUAAAAAUGUAAAUGGAAUUGGAAUGGAAUGCUUACCUUGCUAGCUUAAGGAAUGAAGGUGUUGGGCUACUCAAUCUUCCUUUUCUUUCCAGCUGAUGCUCUCUUCUUUCCCUCUAAAUGUGCCACUGAUUUCUUUUAAUUUCUUGCUUAAAUAAACUGCUUUGCUCCUUGAGGGUUUGAAGAGCCAACUAUAUGUUGAGUUCUCCCCCCUUGCAGUCAGUCCCAUUGGCCUCUAGUUGGCCCCUACACAACCACCUUGCCAAUCUCCCAACAAUCAUUCUUAACCUAUUCUAAUUCUGCUCCCGCAGUGGACCCUAAUAAAUCCCCUCACAACUCUUAGCCAUCUAAUUUGCCCCUUGCAUUGGCCCCUAGUAGCCACGCUAUGCCUUCUAGCAUAUCUUCUAACUAAUUACUAACUGGCUGCUCCUUUACUAACUGCCUAGCAACUAAUUGCCUGUUCAUUGGAAUUGAGCUAAACAGCCCACUACUACUCCACAUAUGGGCUGUCGAAUUGUUCAAGGG